CCUACGUGCGGCAGCAGUGAGGAAUAUUGGUCAAUGGGCGCGAGCCUGAACCAGCCAAGUAGCGUGAAGGAUGACUGCCCUACGGGGUGUAACCUUCUUUUAUAAAGGACUAAAGUGAGGCACGUGUGCCUUUCUGUAUGUACUUUCUGAAUAAGGAUCGGCUAACUCCGUGCCAGCAGCCGCGGUAAUCCGGAGGUUCCGGGCGUUAUCCGGAUUGAGUGGGUUUAAAGGGAGCGUAGAUGGGUUGUUAAGUCAGUGGUGAAAGUUUGCGGCUCAACCGUAAAAUUGCAAUUGAUACUGGCAGUCGUGAGUACAGUUGAGGUAGGCGGAAUGCGUGGUGUAGCAGUGAAAUGCUUAGAUAUCACGAAGAACUCCGAUUGCGAAGGCAGCUUACUAAACUGCCACUGACACUGAUGCUCGAAAGUGUGGGUAUCAAACAGGAUUAGAUACCCCGGUAGUC
RNAcentral lists this ribosomal RNA (460 nucleotides) under uncultured bacterium. RNAcentral's name for it is "partial 16S ribosomal RNA". It matches the Rfam family "Bacterial small subunit ribosomal RNA", at positions 338 to 795 of the family's 1533-position model. The record is from RNAcentral.